UAUAAGCACUUUAUACUGUGAAACUGCGAAUGGCUCAUUAAAUCAGUUAUCGUUUAUUUGAUAGUACCUUACUACAUGGAUACCUGUGGUAAUUCUAGAGCUAAUACAUGCUAAAAACCUCGACUUCGGAAGGGGUGUAUUUAUUAGAUAAAAAACCAACGCCCUUCGGGGCUCCUUGGUGAAUCAUAAUAACUAAGCGAAUCGCAUGGCCUUGCGCCGGCGAUGGUUCAUUCAAAUUUCUGCCCUAUCAACUUUCGAUGGUAGGAUAGUGGCCUACCAUGGUGGCAACGGGUAACGGGGAAUUAGGGUUCGAUUCCGGAGAGGGAGCCUGAGAAACGGCUACCACAUCCAAGGAAGGCAGCAGGCGCGCAAAUUACCCAAUCCCGACACGGGGAGGUAGUGACAAUAAAUACUGAUACGGGGCUCUUUUGGGUCUCGUAAUUGGAAUGAGUACAAUCUAAAUCCCUUAACGAGGAACAAUUGGAGGGCAAGUCUGUGGCACA
Molecule: ribosomal RNA, 503 nt
Filed under: Eurotium sp. N14
Lineage: Eukaryota; Fungi; Ascomycota; Eurotiomycetes; Eurotiales; Aspergillaceae
Description: SSU rRNA
Rfam family: Eukaryotic small subunit ribosomal RNA
Source: RNAcentral